This is a non-coding RNA of Triticum aestivum (bread wheat), 135 nucleotides long. The record is from Rfam. Lineage: Eukaryota; Viridiplantae; Streptophyta; Magnoliopsida; Poales; Poaceae.
UUUGUACUCCCUCCGUCCCAAAUUUCUUGUCUUAAAUUUGUCUAAAUACGGAUGUAUCUAGUUACAUUUUAGUGUUAGAUACAUCCGUAUCUAAACAAAUGUAAGACAAGAAUUUUGGGACGGAGGGAAUACUAC